GGAGGCGUCGCCUAGUCGGUCUAUGGCGCCCGCCUGCUAAGUGGGUUGAGGGGAAAACCCUCUCGCGGGUUCGAAUCCCGCCGCCUCCG
This 89-nucleotide transfer RNA is filed under the name Actinomycetes bacterium. Its description in RNAcentral is "tRNA-Ser". It matches the Rfam family "tRNA". Rfam says of the family: Transfer RNA (tRNA) molecules are approximately 80 nucleotides in length. Their secondary structure includes four short double-helical elements and three loops (D, anti-codon, and T loops). Lineage: Bacteria; Bacillati; Actinomycetota; Actinomycetes. The record is from RNAcentral.